AGUGAACGCUGGCGGUAGGCCUAACACAUGCAAGUCGAACGGCAGCACAGGAGAGCUUGCUCUCUGGGUGGCGAGUGGCGGACGGGUGAGGAAUACAUCGGAAUCUACUUUUUCGUGGGGGAUAACGUAGGGAAACUUACGCUAAUACCGCAUACGACCUACGGGUGAAAGCGGGGGAUCUUCGGACCUUGCGCGAUUGAAUGAGCCGAUGUCGGAUUAGCUAGUUGGCGGGGUAAAGGCCCACCAAGGCGACGAUCCGUAGCUGGUCUGAGAGGAUGAUCAGCCACACUGGAACUGAGACACGGUCCAGACUCCUACGGGAGGCAGCAGUGGGGAAUAUUGGACAAUGGGCGCAAGCCUGAUCCAGCCAUACCGCGUGGGUGAAGAAGGCCUUCGGGUUGUAAAGCCCUUUUGUUGGGAAAGAAAUCCAGCUGGUUAAUACCCGGUUGGAUGACGGUACCCAAAGAAUAAGCACCGGCUAACUUCGUGCCAGCAGCCGCGGUAA
RNAcentral lists this ribosomal RNA (505 nucleotides) under uncultured bacterium. RNAcentral describes it as "partial 16S ribosomal RNA". It matches the Rfam family "Bacterial small subunit ribosomal RNA", at positions 29 to 523 of the family's 1533-position model. The record is from RNAcentral.